ACGCUGGGACAAUGAAGUGUCUGUUCUGUUUCUUUGUGCAAAUGCUGCAACUGUAAAGGAAAAAAGAGACCUUUCUAGAAGCAGUGGACAAGUUGUGGACUGCAGUCAGAUCUAUCACAGACCUCUGGACAACAGAAAUUCCACCAACAGCUAAACUGGCUCCUGGACGCAUCACAGAGGUGCUUCUUUGCUAUCCUGCUGAAAAACCUCACCCUAGAAACCACAUGCUCAGUGGGCUCAGAUGCAGCAGAGGGAACAUGAACAAAGAGAGCUCCUUCACUGCAGUGCAGCUUGGAUCAGAUCCAAAAGACUCGCAGGCAGGAGGCAGACUGGAAAAAAAAAAGAUGCAGACAAGUAAUUUUUAGAAUAGACCUUAUUAUUGAUUGUUGCUUUCACUGGUGUGACAUGCAGACACAAACCUGUGAUGGCAUCCUCAUAAAACGCCCUUUAGAAGUCUCCUCACAUCAACAGCGUAGACAAUUGCCACAUGUUCCUUGGGGUCAUUUAGAUCUACAGAGAAAGACGUGCCCAAGCCUAUUUAUUGUGGCAGCACAGAUCAUAAAGCUGUGUCCUGUGUGUCCUGCAAAGUCAAAAUAUCCUUUAAACAAACAGGGUAAUAGAGGAGUAUUGCUGAUUCUUCUCUUUUUACUACAGAUCUGGGUAUCUGUUUGUUUUUCUUAAGAUUUCAUCUUCUGAAGUUGGUAGCUUAUUAAAAACUUUGUUUAUUUAAGGUAUUUUUAGCAUAAGGCUUAAAAACCAAACCUCGGAUGGUUGUCUUUUUUUGGUAAUCUCAUAAUAUUACACUCAAUCUUACAGUACUUUGGCUUGUGACUCACUAUUUUUGUAACCCUUGAGCUUGGCAGGACAAGGACAAGCAGUAACAUGCCACAGCCCUGUUUGUCUUGUGGCUGGAACUUCAGCAAAGAUCAGGCUUUAUUGCAGAGAUACAGGUUUGGGAAGAAAAUAUUUAUCUCCACAACUGUAAAUAGAUGAAUAUAAUUAUCUGGUGUCAUACACAGUGAGAGACGUCUGAGGUAGGUAAUACUGUAAGAAUAUACAUUGUGGGUUUUUUUUCCCUGUGGCAAGUAGCCCUAUUUUUAUCUGAACAAAGGAACAGAACUGACCUGGCUGCACGUACUCACAUCGCCUGACUAGCCGGCUGUCCCAACUUAAAGCCUUGUACUAAAGAUAAACAGAUUGCUUCAUUUGACAUUGCUCACUUAGAAAUGAUAUGUGGUUGCUAAGACAUUAGUGUACAUAAAACCCAGACCCAGCUUGUGUUCUAGAAUGUUACAGAUUUGUUGGAAGCAUUUCUUUGACCUCCAGAUACUUCUCUUCUGAAAGUAGGUUGCUUUGUACCAGUGCCCAAUGACCUACUUUUGAAACCACUUGGAAAGAAAUACGUGUUCCCAACUGCAGGCCGCUGGCACCACCUGUGCAGUCAGGCCAGUCACAAGGUAAUUUCUGUUUUAUUGACCUUUGCAUUUAUUUAUAUACAGUUCACAGUCAGCUGCUUGAUGAUUCUUAUUCACCAAGAGCUACAUAGUGGUGUGUACCUUAUAGACUUUGUAUUUAUGUUGUAUAACCACAACAUAAACAGAUCUCCUGUGUCUGUAGCAAAUUCAAGUAAUAAUAUACUUUCUAAAGAAAUUCUGAGGUAAAGCUGAAAUUCAGUAAAACAAAGUCACCGGGGCAUGACCUCCAGCCUAGGAGAUUGUUCUGUACAUAUAAUGUGUGAAAAUAAGGCAGAAUCUGGCCCACAAUAUAGAAACACUGCAUUCUGACUUUAAAAAGAAGUAGCUUUCAAUUUGGUAAUAAUUAUCUUUGAAAUAGUGUUAAGGAAUCUAUGCAGAUACUAGGUGUGAAACAUUCAGGACAUGAGUUUACUACAGAGAAAAUAUCAAGGGACGGGAAAAGAGUCAUUUAAGAAGCUUUCUGUAUUCAGCCCACCCCCUACCCAGAAACAAAAGAGGUGGGCUCCAUACAGGCACAUAGAUGGCUACUGAAGAUUAAUAAUUAGGAGAAUUAAAUGAAUCCAAUCAGUAGAGGCUGCAGAAUGGUGGCCUGUGUGGAGUACACUGCCUACAGGCUAUGGAGAUUAGUUUAAUUCUGCUGGGCCCAGGAGCUGCAUGCACAAAGCCUGACUCUUUGUUUAUCUCUUUUGACAGAGGGAUAACUGGGGAAAAUAAUGAGGCUUUUUACAUGAAAUUGAUGAAUUUAAACCAUAAUUGUCUAAAAGUAUGAGCCUGUGUUCGAUGUCAGCAUGUUGCUGCCUGCGCUUGCUUAGGAUAACGUCAUUUCCCUGAAGAAUGGAUUUUUCAGGAGCCAUUAUUAAGAAGGUAUUUAAACAAUUACCCAUGGCAGGCCCAUCUGGUGGAAUUUUAUUCUGAUCUGUUGAUUUGAAUACUUACACAGAAACAGAACAACCAUACUGAAAGCAGACGGGUCAUAGGAUUUAGCCAUACUUGGAAAAUACAAGGGAAAGCUCCUGUGUUUUCUGGUUUACACAUAAAGGGGAAAAAAAAAGAAAUUUCUUUUUUCUCCUUCUCCAUUUAGAGGGACAUUAAAAAGCAAGGACCUGCACACUAAAAACCUUAAUGCAAGUCUGAUGUGCUGAAACGCAGGCCAGACUUCUUAGCCUGUUAAUCUCCAGUUUAACACAUACAAGAUGUGGCCUUUCACAUUUGUAAGUUUUAGUUACUCUGGCCUUCCUCUCAGGACUCCAUGAUCUUGUUUGGCUUUGGAACAUGGUUCCCAGAGCAGUGUGUGGGAUAUGCAGGCCAGCUGUGGAACAAGCCUUUAGUCACCCUGGCACCAGGCAAACCAAACAAAGGUAUUGGAAACACUGAGCAAAAAUGGCAGCAUAAAGAAAACAAAUGUGCUAUUGCCUAAAUCUGAUAUUGCCUUCUGUCCUAAAUUUAUGUCACUGGAUAGUAUUCCCAAGGUUGGUUAUUGCCAUGGAGCCAUCUCUAAACUUUGCAGUUAACCAUUUUCCCCUCUUCCUGUGAAUACAUUGCGAAUAGUU
This is a long non-coding RNA of Pezoporus occidentalis (night parrot), 3025 nucleotides long. RefSeq lists it as uncharacterized. The transcript is spliced from 2 exons. Lineage: Eukaryota; Metazoa; Chordata; Aves; Psittaciformes; Psittacidae. The record is from RefSeq and is a predicted model, not a curated record.